This is a long non-coding RNA of Eucalyptus grandis, 1392 nucleotides long. RefSeq lists it as uncharacterized. The record is from RefSeq and is a predicted model, not a curated record. Lineage: Eukaryota; Viridiplantae; Streptophyta; Magnoliopsida; Myrtales; Myrtaceae. The transcript has 5 exons.
AGGGGGGACUCUCUCUCUCUGCGCGUAUUCUCUCUCAGAGACGCUCUCUCUCUCCCUGGUUCCCGCUCUCUCGGCUAAACGACCGAACGGACUCGCACACUCCCUCUCUUUCGCGGUAACAACCUACUCUCUCUCUCAAUUUCUUCCCGAUCUCGGAGGCCGACGAAGAACCCUCCGGCACCGGCCAUGGCUCCGCUCCCUCCCUCGACGAUCACCUCCAAGUCUCGCGGUGCUCCUCUUGAGAAGUAGCGCGCCGGAUCCGGCAUCCUCACAAUCGGAGACUCUCUCUCUCUCGAUCAACUCUAGAAGACGGAACAACUGUUGAUCGAGGAACUCGUGGUGCGAGACUCGAAAUCGCGCCAAGCUGUGGGAGAUAUCAGUUCGGUUCCGAGGGUAGGGAUCCGAAGGCAGUGACAUCGGCGGUCGGAGAUCAGUGCUUUCUCUCGGUUGGAGCUCGAUCAGUUAGGGUUUUCCUUUAUUGGCGCGAUCGGAGGUGCGGGAGCUCGCCGGAUCGAACUCUCUCUCGAUCGUUCAUUCUCUCUCUAGAUCUGGGUUCCGGUUCAGCUCCAAGGGUUGAGCUCCGAGACCGAUCGACGACAUCGGCGGUGACGGCAACAACGGUGACGAUAGGACGUUUAACCGUUUCUCUCUCGGCUCUGUCGUUUGCUCGACGAUUUGACUUGCUUGAACGGCCGGUCGAGGAGUUUGGAGUUAAGAGUUCAGACACCGUCGACGGUGUCCAUAAAGACCAAAGUCGCAUGGGUCCGCGAUGUGCUCCGGGAAGACCGAUUCGUAUGAGUUGCAGGUAAGACUUCAAAGCAAGUCCCGGAAGAGUACCCGUACAAAGACGAUGAAUAAGCUCAUCUGUUUGCGGUUCAUCAUGACCUUUUUCAUCGCCCUGUAUCCGGCAGGGGAGUGUCAAAUAGCUCAUCUAUUCUCUCUGGUAUUGCAGAGAGUGUCGAUGCCGGAGGCUUCUAGAUUUCAGCCGUUAUAUGCAGUUGCUCUUCGCCAAACCGAACCCAAUGUGACUGCAAAUUGACCCUUGAUUCAAUUCUUCUUCUUCAUCUUUUCUUUUGUUGACUUAAUUUUGGAACAGAUAUCAAAGAAAUGGACACUCUACUCUAGAGACAAAUUGGCAACAACUUUCUUUAGUCUUCGACAACGAAGUGAUAGAUUGCAAUUGUCGUGGCGCAAAAGUGAUAGACAACCAUCGCCAGUUCUUGAGCGCUAGCGACACCACACAAGAUCAAAAAACAACUCGCAGCUCUUCUUUUCUUGGCCUUCUUUGCCGCCGCUGUCUUCACGUGGCUCCCACGGAGCGCGUCCAAGCCCAAUUGCUCUAUCCAGCAGUCCUACCUCCCAGCACUCAACAGAUCUUCGGACACUUCCAAG